CGCGUACGACUGCUGCCGCGUGCCGCCACCAGGUCUAUGGUCACUAGAGUUGGCUGAAUUAACAGCCUUCUUUUGCAACAAAGCCAACGACUAUAUCGACCAGUAACUUUCUUCGAUCUAGCCUCCAUCCAUGCCUUAUCUUUUAAUCCCUCUCUUCGACAAGAUACAUACAUACAAACGCACACAGCCGUAUCUAUGUUUUGUAUAUAGGCUGGCCAGACUCGUGACGACGUCAUGAUGUUUCCGAUGACCGUGACUUGAUUCCGACCAUCUCUUCCAAAACAUCAUAAUGACGCACCAUUGUCCACCGGCGCCACGCUGAUCGACUCGACCUUGUCGGCAAGCAUAUACUGAUUUCUGCUAUUCUAGAAACGUGAAUCUAGAAAUGUUGCGGUGAUUAAUGCUAGUCACCGGAGCUCAGAUCUGAAACAAAUCGUCGAUGAUGAUUAAUGUUAGUCACCGGAUCUCAGAUCUGUUGCUGAUUUUUGUAUUCGCUGGAGGUUUUGGUCUCCGGAAGGUGGGCAGAAAUAAUGGUUGGAUGUGGUGAAUUUCAUUUUUGAUGGUGUUUUUGAUUUUCCGAUGGUGAUUUUGUUUUGUAGUUGGUGGUUUUUCGGGUUUGGGGGUUGUAAUGGUGGUUUGUAGAUGGUGGUGGUGUGGUGAUUUUAAUUUUUAGACGUUGUUUUGGUUUCCUGGCGCUGAUUUAUUGUUUUCUGGUGGUGAUUUUUUAUUUUACGACGCUGAUUUUUCAUUUUUUGACGGUGAUUUUCAGAUUUGGGGGUGGUGGUGGUUUGUAAAUGGUGGUGGUGUGGUGAUUUUAAUUUUCUGGCGUUGAUUUUUGGUUUUCUGGCGGUAAUUUUUAGUUUUCCGGUGGUGAUUUUUAGUUUUCCGAUGGUGAAUUUAUGUUUGCCGGUGGUGAUUUUCUGGUGGUCGCCGGAGGUGGUGGUGGUCGCCGGAGGAGGUGGUGGUGGUCAGCAGUGGUUGAAGGUGAUAAGUAGUUGAAUUAAAAGAAGGUGAAAUAUUAAAAUAUUAAAUGAAUGAUGAGAGAUGAAUAUAAUGUAUUUAAAUGAGUGGUUGAGAUUAGAUCUCAUAUCUCACCAUAAGAUUGGUUCUCCCUGGAGCAUGACUCUNNNNNNNNNNNNNNNNNNNNNNNNNNNNNNNNNNNNNNNNNNNNNNNNNNNNNNNNNNNNNNNNNNNNNNNNNNNNNNNNNNNNNNNNNNNNNNNNNNNNNNNNNNNNNNNNNNNNNNNNNNNNNNNNNNNNNNNNNNNNNNNNNNNNNNNNNNNNNNNNNNNNNNNNNNNNNNNNNNNNNNNNNNNNNNNNNNNNNNNNNNNNNNNNNNNNNNNNNNNNNNNNNNNNNNNNNNNNNNNNNNNNNNNNNNNNNNNNNNNNNNNNNNNNNNNNNNNNNNNNNNNNNNNNNNNNNNNNNNNNNNNNNNNNNNNNNNNNNNNNNNNNNNNUAUAUAUAUAUAUAUAUAUAUAUAUAUAUAUAUAUAUAUAUAUAUAUAUAUAUAUAUAGGGGUGGAUACUGUGACAAACUUACAAACUUACAAAUUUUCUGCGUUUAACAGAUAUAUAAUUUGAGCUCAGCAUUUUUUUAACCUAUUUUGUUGAACAUCGACUAAAAUUGUGUUUAAGAAGUACAUAAACUAAUUUUUGAAUGUAAGAACUAAGGCUGUGUUCACUUCAUGGAAUGGAAUGAGGGGAGAAUGGAAUGAAAAAUUAUAUAAUAGUUUUAAGGAGAAAGAAGAAAGUAUGAGAUAAUGAUGACAAAAUAUGAAUGUAGUUAAUUUGUUUGUGAGAAAGAUUGUGAAGAAACAUGAUGUUGAAAUGGAAUGAGCAUCCUUUCCAAAACAUGUGGGUUAGAGUUAUAGUUAAAAUACUAAGAGCAAGUCCAACAAUGUCCUAGCAAAUGCCCUAUAAAUAUAAUAAAAUAAUGUGUCCUAGUGAUUUAGGACAUCAUCUUCAUAUAUCAACUCCAACAACAUGCCUCAUUAUUGUGCCUUAUUAUUAAAAUAUUAAUAUAUUUAAAUUGUUAUUGGAGGGAAAUGAAAAGGAGAGAAGAGAGAGAUGUAGUGGAAUGGUAGGAAACUAUUUUUUUAUUGAAUAGGGCAUGCAUAUUGGUGCCUCAAAAAUAAGGCAAUUGUUACAUGUCCUAGUGUUUUAAGGCACCACUAGGACAUUGUUGGAGCAUUGAUUUGCUUCACAUGCCUUAUAUUUUGAUUUAGGACAUUAAUAUAGGGCACUCUUGGACUUGCUCUAAGGUUGGAAUGAUUGAAAGAAUGAAAGUUAUAUACAUUUUCAUUGAUCAACACCAUUUUAGAGUACAAAAUUCAUUUCAUUCUCCCUCCAUUCCAUUCACUCCAAGUGAACACAAUCUAAGUUAAACGUACUAGAGCAUCUCCAAGGGACUAAAACCAUUAGCUAAAUUAUCUACAUGACAUCUAGUUGGCAUCAAGUUGGCAUCUAAUGUCACUAUUUAGAUAUCUUGUAAAAAGUUAAGCACUCCAACCAUUAACCCUUAGCAAAAAAAUAUAGAUAACUAAAAAUGGGGUUGAUACAUUUGUAAAACCUCUAAGAUAUUAUGUAUAAUUUUAAAUAAUAUAAUUAUACAUAACACAAUUGAAGUGGAUCUAGGAUCUUUUAGUUAUAAUUUUAGAUGAUUAUCCAUAUAUCAUAUUAUAGUUAAUAAUUAUACAUAACACCCGUGGAGAUGCUCUUGUAUAACUAAUAUUUAUGUUUUUAAACCUCAUCCAAACCAAGGAGGUAUAGUUUAAGUAUCUUUAUAGAUAUAUUUAACAUAAUAAUAAUUAGCAUUCUACAUCCAAUGUUGAACCCCAGUUACAAAUGUGUUGAAUGCGCGAUUUAUUUAUGCGUUAUUUUUAAAAAUUGUGAUAUUUUUUAAAAAAUUUUCAACAUGAAUACCUUCGAUAACUAAGGAUUAACACGAAGGAAGAAUAAAAAAAAAGUUUAUAAAUUUGUAACUUAAAAAAGUUUUUAUUUGAUCCUAUCCCUAUAUAUAUAUAUAGGCUCAUGAUCAAAUAAAAACCACUCUUAAAAUAAAAACUAGAAACCAAUACAAGUUAACGAUAUUAUCAAUACAAUUUAGUUAUAUUCUCUUUAGGAUUUAGUGAUCAGUGUUGCAAGAAUUAAUGAAAACUUGCAGAAACCGCCCAGAAUCUCCAUAUAUGUUCCAAAAACUGCUCAAAUUUUUCAGAUCUGUUCACGUUUUCGAUUCAGAUGGUGGUGACGACGGUGGAGAUGGUGGAGGUGGAGGUGAAGGUGGAGAUGGAGGAAGGAUGAUUGUAGCGAAGGUGUGGGCGAUUUGAAAUAAGGGGUUGGAGCGUUGCCGGAAUAGUGGCGGCUCCGCCGCAUUUUGAAGUUGAGCAGAGAUGGAGAAAGAAGUAUGAACGGGACCGAAGGAGGUUGAAGAAGCGACUAAGAUGGGUUGGUGAAGAUGGAGGUGGAGAUUGUGUUGUUAGAGAAAUAAUGGAGGUGGAGAUGAAGGGGCGGGCGGCAUAAAGGUGGUGGUGGGUAUGGAGGAGGUGACGACGGAGGUGGUGGCAGUGACGGAUGUGGAGGUGGGGUUGGUGAAGAUGGAGGUGGGGUUGGUGAAGAUGGAGGUGUUUAAGAAUUUAGUGGUAUUUGUUAUAGGAUUUAGUGAUAUUUCAGCUUGGUUUUUAGUUUCUAGAAUAAGAAGGUUUCUAUUGGAGUAACACUCUAUAUAUAUAUUUAUCUCUACUUGAAUUUUUUUAGCAUAUGGAUACGUCACUUAUCGAAACGAGACUGUUUAUGCUAAAUAUAUAGAGUAUAUUUGUAAUUAGGUCCCGGUCUUCAGCAUGAUACGUGUUAAGUGCCGUGCUCUCAGGAUUAUAACUUGCUAAAUAUAUUCAGUUGUUUUUAAACGCCAGAUAAUCAUUUUAACCAUCCAGUUUUUUUUAAAAAAUGUUAUAGUGUUAACACGUCCACACAACUUGGUUUAAAUGGAAUGGAGCGAGAAUGAAAUGAAUUUUAUACUCUAAAAUGGUGUUAGAUCAAAAAAAUUGUAUGCAAUUCUCGUUCAUUCAAUCAUUUCAUUCUUAUUAUUUUCAUAUAAUUCUAACCCACAUCUCACAUAUUUUAUUUUAGAAGGAAUUUUCUAUAUCAUAUUUUCUUACAAUUUUUAUCACAAAAAAUUUAAAUGCAUUCAUAUUUUGUCAUCAUUUUCUCAUACUUUCUUCUUUCUCCGUAAAAGUUCUAUAUAAUGUUUCCUUCCGAACACAUACUAAAAAGUUGUUUACACCCUCGAACCAGAGAAUAAGAUACUAACAAGUCUAAACUUAAUCAAAUACUUGCUCUCAUAACUCAAUAGACUUGACUCUUUUAAAAUACUUGGUCAUUUGGUCCAUAACAGAUGUACAUGUUUCUAGGACUUUGAUCAGUUUACAAAGCCCAAGAGACACAAUUCCGAACCUACUCACAGUAUUAAAUUAUGAGACUUGAUGAAUGAUGAUUACAAAUAAAGAAAUAGGUUUGCGGUUUGGGCUUGCCCUUGAGCACACUAGGCAAAAGGUGUGUAAAUAAAUCAAUACCUUCUAGACCUGACCAAAAAAACAAAAAAAAAAAAAAGAAUUCAAUACCUUCUAGCCCAACAAACUAAUGAGCCAUACAGCUACAAGCCUACAAGUCUCAGAACUGACUUGUCAAAAAAAGUGUAUCCUUUAGUUCCAUUCGCUAUUGAACUCCAAGAUCCAUAACCGGCCUAAACACUACCAAACAUAUCAAUAACCAUAUUACCAUCACUGAUGCACUGAUCUUGCUGGAUACAACUAGAGUGAUAAUUUAUACUGAUAAUAACACAAGAUAAUUUCAACAAAGAUGCAAGAAAUUUGAAGUUGUCCAAAUUAACCCACUAGUUGGAUUGCAUUUACCCUGCAAAUAAGUGCAAAAGUUAAACGACAAGACAAUCUACCCUCAUCAUAGGCAUCACAUACUUGCAGAAGUUCAUUAGCAUCAGGGAUCCACAAAGUAAAAGCCUAAUCUUAAACUCCCGGGAGCCCCUGGAAUUUUGUUAGUUUCAGAAUUGCCUAAAAUGUAUAUUUAGGAAUUCCACAACCUAGAAGGAUCAUCCCCCGCGCAUAUGUGCACCUAAUUCCCCAAACUGAUCAUCAGCUUCUACAGUGUCAUCUGACAGGCGAACUGCAUCAAGCUUUUGUUUCAGGAUAUCAAUAGCAUUAAGCACCAACUGCGAAGCUUUGAUUGCACCAGUGGACUCAACAGUGAAGAUAAAGCUGUCUUCUUUUGCAUAUAUUUCUAUGAGUCCUGGUUUUCCCAUAGCUUCUGCUUUCUUAAGCACUUCAUCAUCAUAGGCGUAAGCCUCUGAAUCAACUAUCUUAACCUGAGACCAGAAAAGCAAAUGAUUUUUUUUUUUUUAUUAUAUAGUAGGAGCAAUUUAUAAAUUUUCGGCAACAGUGUCAGCUUGAGUAUUAUGUUUCCAAGAAAAUGAAGUGAACUUCAGAUGACCAAAAGAUAACACGAUAUAUAAAUAAUCUUCACACCCAAAAUUGAUUGAACAUUCUUUAAAACAAAUUUACUAGCUAUAUCACCAUUUGUAUAAGCUCCCAUACAUAUCUACUUAAAUAUUAAGAUGCAGUAUGGCAUGCAAUAAAAAUAACUCUUCGAAGUGUUUGUUGUUAAUUCUUUUUAGGUAACCCACUAACUAUAGAUCAACUUUGGUCACUUCCAUCUUACUGGAGAAGUGCACUAAUUUAUUACUUACCAACUUGAAUAUGAGAAUCCACUAUAGCGUGGAGCAAGUAUAACUCUGCCAAGUGUUUGUUAUAUUUUUUUCCCCUCAAAGAGUUUAGUCACUCCACACUAAUUUCGUAUGACACUAGACCUCACUCUCCCAGCUAUUGAUAUCUCCAGCCUCUUACAUUUCUAAAGCAUCCGUUGUGGGAUACAAAAUGAGAAUAGCAUAACUCCUAUAAACAAGUAAUGACCAUUAGGCUGAUGGCACUGAGUAUAAACCAAAACCAAACAGGUUCUAGUGUUAAGUAACAGUUUAAGAAAAACAUGGUUGUAUUAGGACACAUAAAAACAAAAUAAAGUGUGUUACUGUGGUUAGCAUCAUGACAUUAUCUUCUAGGAUAAACCCAGGGUGUUAAUUACCAUACAGAGAUACAUUUACUUCAAAUCACGGUGUGUGUGAACAGAUCCACCACCCAUAUAACUACAGACAUGACUGGAAAUUAGCUGUCCACCAUUAUUUCAACUAGACACAAAAACGCUGUAGAAAAUAGAAUUGGAAGAAUUUCAAACCUGUUGAGUUUCAUCAUCAAUUUCAAAGACUUUGGUUGGGCUGCUAUCAACAAAACUUUGUUUCUCGGCCAGUGUUAAACUCUCCAUCAUCUCUUGAUUAAUAUGAAUGGCAGGUUCAUACAUAAAAGUGACUGUUGCAGCAGGUGACCACUUUGCAUGAUCUUUCCCAAUUCCUUUUCGGGCAAUUGCCCUCAGCUUCAGUUCUUGUCCACGGCGUAGCUUCACAAUAAUUAUUCCCCUAAAUAAUACAAGUAGUUGCCCAUUCAUACAAGCAUUCUAGUCAAAUUUAUAAUUAUUUAACAUGCACAUUCUCUUUAGAUGAUAAUAACACUCUAACUCAAAACCAAUUACUAUAUAAACAAAUUAAACUUAUAACUAAUACACAGUGUUUUACAUGCAGGAACAAAGCGGGUAACAAGGUAUGAAGAUUCUCACAAACGCAGUAACAAGGUAUAAAGAUUCUUGCAAACAAGCUUCUUGUAGAGACGCACCAUUUAUUAUAUUGUGACGUUGAUGCUUGAGAAACAAAUCAAAAUAUAUAUGCCAACAUACUGAACAAAUAAAAUAAAAAUUUGCAUAUAUACCAUCCAAUCUAUCUACGUCCCUUAUAUACAAGGUAAAAUAUAUAUUGAAUUAUCAAUGACAAUGUGAAGAAGCACAUAAUACAUGUAUUCAUAACCUUCUCCUUUUUUCAUUUUCACAUUCCUCAAAAAUUGACUUACAAAUAAACCUCAAAAGGGCAUUUCCUCUACUUUAUCAACCAACCAACAUUCUUUACCUCUAAAUAACACUUAAAAGGCUCAGUUUGCUAUUCUUUGGAAAUCCCGCAACUGCAAAGUUAAAAAUUUAUGGCCAUCUAGUUGGAAGAAAUAAAACUAGGCGGUAACAACAUAAAUUUAAUUACUAUUUUGUAUGGAAGAAUGCUUGAUUCUUAUCCCCCCGUCCCUUUCCUCCAUAUUUAUACCAGAGAAUAAUGUCAUAAUUUGGGGAUAAAUCCCUCAAAUCCUAUCUCUACUCAUAUUCUUCGCAAGGCUCUCAUAGCAAAAUUUGCAUUAUUUUUUACUCUUCCAUCUUGUAUCCUCUCUUACGCCUUCAACUUAUCCAAUUUAUCCCCUUCCACAGCAUAAAUGUAAUAACAGCCUAAACAUAACCAAAAUAUACACUAAUUUACACCCAAUUUACCCACUAUUUAAACCCUAACCCCAAAAAAUUAGUAACCCCAAAAAAAUAGCUACAUGCAUUUCUUUAAAUUUAACCUAUACACAAAAAAACCACAUUUUUAUACUAGGGAGUAAGAAAUUGACCUAGUCUCGGAGUUCUCAUAGCCCGAAGCAUCCGAAAAAUCGACAGGGACAACCGUGUAAUCAGAGCUAUGCAAAUCCUUACUAGUGACAUCCAAAGUCUGAUCCCCAAGACACUUAGCCCUCAAAUGAAACUCCACAGAGCAAAACUCACACUGCCCAUCCCCAUCACACGCAUCGCAAUCACGAGAGAAACGCAUGCUCAUAGCGCGUUCACUGGUCAGCGGGAUGAGGCCGAGACGGUGGGCGAUGAAUUCGUCGUUGAGAACGGUGGAGUUGAUUUCGAUUUCGACGAGGUCGAUUGCGACGGUGGGGACCUCGGAGAUCAUCACGCGCCGGAGCGCGUUGGCGAUGCUGGCGUCGGUGUUGCGCAGCUCGAACUUGGCGUAGUCGUCUUUGAGCUCGCGGAUUUUGACGGUGGGGAAACGUUGGUAUGAUGCGACUCCGUCCAUCUGUGUGUUUGGCGGUUCAAAUGUGGGUGAGUUUUAGGGUUUAUAAAUUAGGGGUAACUGAGAUGAACAUGAGGAUUGCUAUUUGCUUGUAGUGUUGAGAAGUGACUUUAACAUUAUUGUAUCGUAUGAUUUGGUUUUAUACUUUUAUUUAUCGUAACGUAAUAAUUUUAUUUAAUUAUAUAUUCUAAAUCCGUCCUCAAAAAAUAUUUACCCACCAGAGUAAGAAAAUUUCAGCCCCUUGUUUUUUUUCCUUCCCGAGAUCUGAGAAGAUUUCCAACUUCAAAAUAUUAAUUAUGUCACGGCUGAAGGGAUCCACCUCAGGUAAUACAAGUAAAUUUUUAAAUAGUUAAAUUUAAUCAAAUAAAUAGAAAUUUAGAGUUAUUAUUUAUGUUUUCUAAUUUUUUUAUUAUAAUUUAUUAUUUUAGAGGAAUUUUUUAUGGAGAUCGCUAUUUCAUCGGAGACCUUGGAGACCACAUAUGUUCUCCAAUUAAAAUACUAUAAAUAUAUUUUUUUGUAAAAUAUGUUCUAUAAAUAUCAUGUAUUCAUCAAAAUUUUUGAAGAUCAUCUCUGUUUAAUAAGUAGAUAAUGUAUGUUCUGCAAGUUGAAUAAAUGUUCUGUAAUUUAAACAUAUUUCAUAGAACAAAGCAUUUUGUAAUGUUCCACAUGUAAAAUUUAUAUGAUGUUCAAGAUUUUAAAUGAAAUAAUGAUUUCGUAGAACAUGAGUUGCAAAACUAUAGGUUUUGCAAUGUUUUUAUGAAUUAUUUUAUUUGCAGAACAUACGUGGUCUCCAGGUUUCCGAAAAAAAUGUGAUAUUCAUUGAACUUAACUCUUUUAUUUUAUUCAUAAAAGGUAGAAAGAAUUAUAUUCGUACUUGGUAAGAUAAUAAUUAUCCUGAGAAAUGAAAAUCCCCAAAUUCACAAAAACAUUAUUAUGUUAUAGUAAAUUUAUCAAUUCUCAUCGUAAUGUGAUUUUUAUAGAAAAGACGUUAUCAUCAUGAUAUCAUCUAAAUAGAGUAUUGGUAAUAUCUGUGUGAUUUUAUAAUAAAAUCGAAAUCAAAAUUAAAUAUCUUCAAUAUCAUAUUUAUUGGCUUGAUUAUGGUUCAAAAUUUCUAUUCGAGUAGGUUCUAUUUCAUCAAAAAACCGUAUCACACAAAAAUAUAUAACAAAAAAUCUUACUUGAUUCAUAAGAUAUUAAGCUACUUCAGUGUUUUCAGACUUGAGCUGUCGUUGCUCUUGGGAUAUAUUAGAUCACAAAAAAUCACUCAUUCACUCUAUGAAUAUUUGAAUAUAAGCCGAAUGUGAAUUUCUUUUUUCUGAAAAGGUAACGCUUGGAACUUAGAACCAAGACAAAUGAAGAUUUUUCUUGCUGGUCACUGGCAAGUCCCAGCACAUGUUUUUUUUUUUUAAAAAAAAGCCCAAUACAUGGAGUCAAUUACUAAUCCUGAACUUAUGGGGAAGCAGUGUAGUAGUAUCAGCUGAUGAUAGACCGGAAAUUAUGUUAUGUUGCACAGACACACUAGAAAACUUAAGCAUAUAGUAAACUAUCACUGCAAACAUCCAAGUCAAGAGUAUAGCCAGCAAUCAGCAUCAAAAUUAUCCGCAACCAUAUAUAUAUCCUGCUGCAUCAGCAUGAGUACCAGGACUCCAGGAGGGAGUAGUAACUUACACUUAAACUUGAAUCAUGAGAAGUGAUGUAAUUGAAGCUCGUUUAUAAUUUAUGGACGAGGAAACACAGAAACAAGCAAAGAUCAUUGUAUGCUCAGACAACAGAAGAAAUGAUUUAGUUCCAGAGCCAAAUAUCAUAUUUCGAGAGGAUUCUGGUAAGUGCGAAUAAUAAGUCUCUCUAUUAGAAAACCUCCACAAAUCACCCACCUGCAGGCAGUCUUGUCAAGUCUUGCUAUAUUGAUAGGUCGGAGUGUCGGACUCCCCACUAACAAUCUUGCCUGUUAGUAGGAAGGUCAUGAUCAGUGGCAUCAAUGUGUGGCUAUAUAGGAAACAAUUAUAAAGUUUUUUGAAAAAAAUAAUUAAUUUUAAGUGUUAAUGUGGAGCUUGGAUGCAAUAACUUUUCUAUAUUCAAAAAUUGAUACAUUCAUUUACAGUGAAGAUAGGGGUGGUGUAGUGCCAGUGAUGACAACAAGUAAUGCCAUAGACUAUCUUCAGACAUCAGGUAAAGCAUAUUGGUACCCCUGGUAAACUCAAAGCCAAACAGGUCCGAUCAAUACUCUCUAUGUUAAUCCAGUCUCACCAUAUAAAAAUGGCAAUGAAGAAAGGGCAACAACGCCAAUAGUAUUCUACUAAAUCUUUCUAUUUUUACAAUUCUAAGUAAAAGAGGGUAAAUGUACACUAACACAUUCUCCAGUCUACCAUGAUUCGAUUAUGACUCAUAAGACUUUUAUUCCUAUAACACAGCGGGGAGUUAAAUCUCAGCACAUGUUUUCUCUUUGUUAUUUUCUUUUCUUUUAGAGUUACGAAGCUUUUAAUCCGUGAAAUUCUUUAUGGGACAGUAAUAUGCAGUUAAAGUCACCUUACUAGUAAGAAGCUCAGGGAGAUGCAAUAGACAAUAGUGAUCUCACUUAUAAUGGAAUUCCACUCAUAUACGUGCUGCAUCAUGUGCAAAAACUUCACAAUAACCUCACUGGAUGUAUAGAGAAAAACGCAUGCUUUAUUUGGUGCCUCCAGAGGGUUCGUCACAUAUACCAAUUAGGUAGCAUAACUUUUGUAUCUAUUUUGCUCUAGUACUCUAGUCAUCAUUGAAUUUUUGUCUUAUAAACAAGUGCUUAACGGUUUUUAAUGUUGGUUUUGCCAAGAUUUUUACAACUUACAAGCAUUUAAUCUUUCCUGGUACUUCGACCAAAUCCCUACUUCUCCAUCAGCUUAUGACGGGGUAAUAUACCAGAAAUAAACUUAGUUUUUCUACUAUCAGCAAAUAUAGUACAUCUUUUGUACAUUCAACACAAAUUAAAAGACGAUAACUUUAAAAUUAGGCAGCAAAAAAUAAAAGAGAAGGAUAUAUUCAGUGAAAAUUUCAGAAUAGUUGAAUAUGUUUUUUGUUGUGCAUUACAUAUGUCAGAUUCAUACCUAGGCAGAUAAAAAGUACAAUGAACUUUGAGAAUCAUAGUGACUAGUAUAAGACAAACAGACAACUAGUAAUGCAUUAACAGCUAAGAAUUACUAACAAUUUUCAAAGACACAUCUUCUUAGUCAUGCACAGAUUCUCCUCUUCAUAUUUCCUCUUCCCUAACUUGCUGAUAUCUUCAACUAGUCCCUGUUCUUGAUCAGAAGUCAGCAACUCGGCUAUCCAGUCCAUAUCAAAGCUAGGAUGUUCAUCUCGACAUGAUUAUCAAUAUUAGGGACACCAUUAUCAAUUGCAAACACAUCUAAUGUUAAACACUCGGUGCCCUUACUGUUGACACCAACACAGCUAUUUAUCUCUGACCAGAUAUUCCAUCCAAAUAAACCCCAAGUCCUCUCUUGAGAUUCUCAUUGUUUUGUCCUUUGUUUUCAUCUUCGCCGCAACUUUUAGAAACAUGAUCAGCACCUUGGAACCCAAUUUCAGUAUAGGUUCCUUGUCAGAAUCAAAAGUGAUCUUACAAAGAACAACAUCACCAGAACCAAGAGCAGAUUUGAGACCCUUAUUAAUCCCACAUAACUGAGUACUCAUAUUAUAAUGUAAAUAAAUUAUAAUAUAUCUAAUUUUAUUUUUUAUUUUAUUAUAAAUAAGUGUUAACCAGAAUCGGGGCAAUAAAUAUUAUAUAAAAUAUUAUGUUAUAAAAUUCUACAUACGCUUUUUUUAUCUAUUACAAAUGUGAAAGAUGUGGAACUUGAAGUGUAUCAUAAUUUCUCUUAUUCAGGAAAAAUAUCAUGAAUUAUGUCCAAAAGGAAAAGAAAAUGUCCAAACAGGAUUUAUUUUUUAAACUUUCUUAUUCUAUUUUGAAGACUCUUACCACCUUGUUAACAACUUUUAAAGUCUAGAAACCUUCACCUUACAAAAAAAAAAAAAUCUAGAAACCUUCAAAGACAUUUUAAAAGUUAAAAAUUCCCCCAUCACUACUUAAUCUUAAAAAAAUUCCUACUGCUUACAUUUUAUUAACAAAAUAUUUGUUUUGCUCAGAAACAUUUACUGGUUAUAGUUAAAAUAUAAAUAUAAUAUGAAUAAAAAUAGAUAUAAAUGAAAAUUUUAAGGGUUACUAUUGUUCCCUCCACAAAUUUGGCCUAAAGGGCCGUGGGGCGAUCAUGAUUCAAAUAAAUCUAGAUUCAUAUCCAAAUUCCAGAUCUAUAUGGCUUUAUCUAAAUUACAAAAUAAAAUGGCAGUAAAGAGGAUAAUAGUAAUUUUUGUAAGACAACUACAAACUUGAAACUAUUAAAAAUUAAGAACUUGAAAACAACACUUUAUUAUUAUGUAUUGAAACUUUAUAAAUAUGCACAAGAACACCCCCAUGCCACGUUUGCACAAAAUACACAAUCUUAACAAUGCAGCAUCAGAGUAAACUACACUUUAUUUGAACUUAGGAUGAAAGGAACUAGUUUGGCCCCCAAGGCUUUGAAGAACUGUUAAACAUGGGAGCACCGACUAGAUUUACAUCAGUAAAAAAGGAAUGGAUCCCUUGCCAUCAACCAAUCUCGUCCAGAAGCACUCACAAAAAAAGCAUCAUUUCAUGAGAAUACAUCUUAUAGGAGAUCCCUCAGCACCCACCAAUCGUAGUGGCAAGCAAUGGACAUUAUAUAUUCCAGCUUUCACACCAUCUAAUUUUAGGCCUUCAACUAGAAUGACCUCCUGCAUCAAUUCCAGCAGAGUUAGUGUUUUGGUACAAUGUAUUAUUCUAGCUAAGUCUUUGCAGUUCUAUAUGCAGUUCUAUACUACGACAGCUGACAGAAGCAAGUGAUCACCCAACGAAUGGACGAGCUCAAAGGGGGGAGGAUAGAGAGGGGGGCAAGAACCAUGCUUUCAGAGAAGUGGCGGAUGCCAUCUACUGAACUUAACUGUAUGCAUGAACAUAUAAAAGACAAAAGACCAGAUGCAUUGAAGAUAAUAGCGACUCAUUUGAUCAAGUGAUCAAUAACAAUGGGUCUGUGACAUGCUUAUUAGCCAACACACAGACUAGCUAUAAAACAUAAAGAAGAUUUCAACUUGAUAGUUUAAGAAAGAAGAGAUCGUGACAGGAAGCAUAAGAGAAGCCCCACUUUGAUCAAUAAAGGGAAAAUUCGGUCAAUUAAUCAUCAUAGCUAUCACAAAGUAUGGCCUUUUUCUCUUAUUCUUUACUUUGUUUUAAGGCUUUCAUCAUAGCCAUCACGAAGUAUGGCCUUUUUCUAUUAUUCUUUACUUCGAUCUAUAGUGUACAAUUAGUAAUACACUGAAGCAGAAGAUCAUUAACCCUGUGUAUAUAUUAAGAAAGUUGGAAAUGCAUCCAGGUACACUUUUCAGUGGCCACAGAACCUAAUAACAAAUGAAGCCCUUCAGGGGCUCAUGGACUGAAGUCAUAAAGAGGGUACCAACGUUUUCAUCUUUGUUCAGCAUUUGGAAGUUGUAUAUAUUGUUUCCGUGGUGACUAGCCCAUGACUUAAGAUGAAAAGCCAGGUGAAGCUUUAAAUUAUGAAGGCUUGGAGGCUGGCAUCUCUUAGAGGGAUCAAGGAGUUCAGAAUUUUAAGAUAGUUCAGUGAUAAUGGACUCUAUCAUAUCUUUAAUUGUAAGGCAGCUCACUCUAGUGGAUGCAAUAAAUAUUUUACGUUUUGGUUCCAAAAUUUGAUUCUAGUGGUAUUGUUUUGUUGCAGUCUUGGUUGUUUAGUUAUGGUUAGGACUUGGCUGGUGUUACCCCUGUGCAUCAUGGAGUUUCUGCAUUUUCUUCGCCAUGAUUGGGUCUUCCACCUUUCAUUUCAAUUAUUGUCUCUGUUUAUCAGAACAUAUACACUACGGGAAAAUAGAGAUAUUUGCACACAUGUGAUCUAGAAGCACUGAGUUUAAAGUGACUAUCCUGUAGCAUAGAAAUACAAUCAUUGUUUAUAGGGGCAUGUAUUUUGGCAUUUGCAUAUAUUUAAUUCAAUGCAAUAUACAGGGCCCUGGGAAUUCAAAUGCAUGGGCAAACAGGAGGGCUCAAGGAGCCUCACCACUAGGCAUAUAGAAAUCUAAACAAGAUUAUGUAUGAUUUUCUAGUCCACAAAAGUAAAUACUGCCAGCAAGUAGACCUCUGCCCAUUGACGAUG
RNAcentral lists this long non-coding RNA (14244 nucleotides) under Daucus carota (carrot). Its description in RNAcentral is "long non-coding RNA (DCAR_LNC004284)". Lineage: Eukaryota; Viridiplantae; Streptophyta; Magnoliopsida; Apiales; Apiaceae. The record is from RNAcentral.